RNAcentral lists this ribosomal RNA (108 nucleotides) under Congriscus megastomus. RNAcentral's name for it is "partial 16S ribosomal RNA". Lineage: Eukaryota; Metazoa; Chordata; Actinopteri; Anguilliformes; Congridae. The record is from RNAcentral.
GCAAAACAGCUAGCCUUAACACAUCAAAUAAACAACCAAUCAUAUAUAUAAAAACAAAACACACCUAAAAUAAAACAUUCUUCCACCAAAGUAUAGGCGAUAGAAAAG